Molecule: long non-coding RNA, 678 nt
Filed under: Mus spicilegus (steppe mouse)
Lineage: Eukaryota; Metazoa; Chordata; Mammalia; Rodentia; Muridae
Description: lncRNA (ENSMSIG00000021096.1)
Source: RNAcentral
GCAGGAUCCAGGCAAGACUAAGGCUCCAAAGAGACAUGACCCAGCUUCUCCUGGUGCUCUGGGCAUCGCUGGUGUCUGUGGACCUCGCACGAGGCAUGAUCAUCUACAAGGUACCAGCCCAAAACCUGACCUGCUUCCAGUGCUUCAAUGUUUCCCAGGCCAGCCAGUGUCAGCCCACAGAAUGUCGGCCCAACGAAAAGGUCUGCGUGAGCAGAGAGGUUCUCCUUAACAAGAGUAAAAACAGAAAUACUGAGAUCACCAAGCGCUGUGCCACCACUUGUCCCAAAGCCAAUGAUUUCAAUCAGUUGUCAUUGAGCAAUAUUCAUGACGGAAUCAUCAGAAGAUGCUGUUCAUGGGAUCGUUGCAACAGAGCACCUGGGAGUUGGGAGGGGUUCUGGUCCUUACCAGGUUGGCUCAUGCUGCCAAUGAGUCUGGCCCUCUUUUGCACCCUGUUGUGAGAACCAUUGUGCUGUGAUACCCUGCCCCAACAUACUCAUCCUUCUAGCACAUCCUGUCUUCCACUUCAAAUCUCACAUUCAUCGAUUCCAGCACUUGCACAGCAAUGGUCUGUCCAUGGGGCAGAAGGGAGGACACCAUACCCUUUGCUUAGGACUCAGCAGUCUGCUCCUCCCUGACAUCCUGGCCCAGGAAGUAGGAAUAAAACCCUGCUGCUCCUCA